AACCUUAUGGACCUGCGGGCGUAUACCUGCGGAAGGAUCAUUAUAGAGUUUUCUAAACUCCCAAACCCAUGUGAACUUACCAUUGUUGCCUCGGCAGAACCUACCCGGUACCUACCCUGGAACUAGCUACCCUGUAGCUACCCAGGAACGGGCUACCCUGUAACGUCCUGCCGGUGGACUUCUAAACUCUUGUUAUUUAUAGUAAUCUGAGCGUCUUAUUUUAAUAAGUCAAAACUUUCA
RNAcentral lists this unclassified non-coding RNA (240 nucleotides) under soil metagenome. RNAcentral describes it as "partial contains 5.8S ribosomal RNA, internal transcribed spacer 2, and large subunit ribosomal RNA". The record is from RNAcentral.